GGUGAACCUGCGGAGGGAUCAUUG
Molecule: ribosomal RNA, 24 nt
Filed under: Haematococcus lacustris
Lineage: Eukaryota; Viridiplantae; Chlorophyta; Chlorophyceae; Chlamydomonadales; Haematococcaceae
Description: partial 18S ribosomal RNA
Source: RNAcentral